RNAcentral lists this long non-coding RNA (6030 nucleotides) under Mytilus galloprovincialis (Mediterranean mussel). Lineage: Eukaryota; Metazoa; Mollusca; Bivalvia; Mytilida; Mytilidae. The record is from RNAcentral.
AUCUCGUGAUCACACUAUUUGCGUCACAUUUGAUCUGGACAGGAAGACUUCUCUAUGUAAGUUUGUUUAACUAGUCUUCAAUCUACCAUUGAUAUCGAAACAAUAUAAUCAAUUUAGUUAAGAUUACAUACAGAAAGUAUACAUAUGUUAUAUCUCUAUUUGCAUUUGAAUUUUAGGAAAACAUGUUCCACUAAAUAAAUAAUAAAAUUUUGAUUUACUAAGAUAUUAUAAUGACUGAAAAACAAGUAAAACAAAUAAUUCAAAACAAUCUGAUCUGCAAAAGUGUAGAAUCUUAUCUAUCAAUGUUUCCUCUAGAGGCCACAAUAUUUCAAUAUGGAACUAAAAGAAAGUUCUAAAAAUCAAUUUCAAAAAGUAAUAUUUCACUUUUUUAAAUGGGGGUAUUUCGAACGAAUUUAUGUAAGAUAAGAUCAAUCGUAUCAUAAUUACCAUUGCUAACAAUUACAACAGUCGGUGUUGGUAUCUUUCAAUAUAAUUGCGAGAAUUUGAUGAUCAUAUAUGGAACUAGAGGCUCUAAAGAGCCUGUGUGGCUCACCUUGGUCUUUGUGCAUAUUAAACAAAGGACACAGAUGGAUUAAAGACAAAAUUGUGUAUUGGUGAUGGUGAUGUGUUUGUAGAUCUUAUUUUACUGAACAUUCUCGCUGCUUAUAAUUAUCUCUAUCUAUAAUGAACUAUAGUGAAAAUUGUUAAAUAUUGACUUUAAAGGGCAAUAAUUCCUUAAGGGUCAAUUGACCAUUUUGAUCAUGUUGACUUAUUUGUAGGUCUUACUUUGCUGUACAUUACUGCUGUUAACAGUUUAUCUCUAUCUAUAAUGAUAUUCAAGAUAAUAACCAAAAGCUGCCAAAUUUUCUUAAAAUUACCAAUUCAGGGGCAGCAACCCAACAACCAGUUGCCUGAUUGGUCUGAAAAUUUAUGAGCAGAUAGAUCUUGAACUAAUGAACAAUUGUAUCUUGUUAGAUUUGAUCUAAAUGCUUUGGUUUCAGAAAUAUGACCCAAACACUGCAUUUUACCCUAUGUACUAUUUUUAGCCAUGUCAGCCAUCUUGGUUUGUGGGCGGGGUCAUGGGACAGAUUUUUAAAAUAAGAUACCCUUGUGGACAAGUUUGGUUAAACUUGUCUUUAUAGUUUCAGAGGAGAACAUUUUUGUAAACGAUUACAAAUAUUUACGAAAAAUUGUUAAAAAUUGACUAUUAAGGGCAAUAACUCCUUAAGGGGUCAAUUGACCAUUUUGAUAAUGUUUACUUAUUUGUAGAUGUUACUUUGGGCCAGGUGAGCUUACAAGUAAUAUAACAAAGAUAAACACAAGGGAAAGUUCAAAACAGAAAGUUCUUUAUAAUACGGCAAAAUUGAAAGCCCAAACACAUCAAACGAAUGCACUAUUCAUCAUUUAAAAAGAAAACAACACAAUCACAAUACAGACACCAUGACAUACGGUAUUAAAAAAAAACAAGCAGCAAUACUAAGUCAAUGUUUCAUUUUACCAAAUUAAAUAGUAUUAGUAAUAUAAAAAGAACAAUUCUAUAAGCGAUUUGCCUUCAAAACGUUAAUAAUAAGAUUACAAACAAAAAGAUUUAGAUACUCUGCAAUUACCUACUGAUUAGAAUCGUAUAUGAGUCAGCACAAAUAUAAAUUGAAGAGAUUGUUUUUGUCAUUAUAACUUGUUUCGUAAUUUGACAUUAAGUAGAAUACUUAUAUUCUUAAAAGUAAAACACCAAAAAUAUCGAACUUCGAAGACAAUUCAACACGGAAAGUUCGUAAUCAAAAGGCAAAAUCAAAAGCUCAAAUAAAUGAAACAAAUGGAUAACCCCUGUCAUAAUCCUGACUUGGUACAGGCAUUUUCUUAAACAAUGGUGGAUUACACCUGGUUUUAUUGCUAUAUAAACCUCUGACUUGUAUGACAGUCGCAUACAAUUUCAUUAUAUUGACAACGAUAUGUAAACAAACCAUACAGACUAAGUGGUAUGGGCUUUUCUCAUCGUUGAAGGCCGUACGGAGCCCUAUAGUUGUUAAUUUCUGUGUCAUGUUGGUCUCUUGUGCAGAGUUGUCUCAUUGACAAUCAUACCACAUCUUCUUUUUAUAUUAAAGGUAAAAGAGUCAACAAUAGGGACAUUAACAUUGUGUUAUCAUCCUUAUCACUAUAAUACAAACAAUUAUGUAAGAAUUCACAUUAGCAAAAAUAAUAUAUACCUUACGUAUUGAAGAUCAUACUGUCAUCUUGUAAAAAACUCAAUGAGCUGGUUGCGCUUACCUGCGGGAGAUAAGAUAUUCCGAUGUUAUUUUAGAUUAUAUUGGUCCGAGAAAUGACUGACACAAACUCUUGUUUAUCUUAGAAAUAUGACUGUUGUUAUCCAUUCGUUUGAUGUGAUUCAGCUUUUGAUUUUUCUAUUUAAGUACAAACUUUCUGUUUAGGAUUUUCUAUGAGUUCGGUAUUUUUGUUAUUUUACUUGAUAAUUAUCUAAAGCUUGACAUUCUAUUUUACAAAAUGAUAAUUAUCAAGGACGUAUUAUAUUAUGUUUUUAUAACAAUGCGGAUGGUAAGAUUGACAAUCAGACAACUAUCCAACAAGUGUUCAAAUGAUGUGAAUGUAGCUAAUUUAAGGCCACGAUACAGCUUUAAAAAAUGAACAAAAUACCUACCGUAUAUUUGGGGACAAAAGGCCCAAACAUGAACAAUGUGAACAAAUUCAAACGAGAAAACCAAUGGCCUUAUGAAUAACUUUUUUUCUUACGAAAAUUAAUAUUUUAUAUUUUAAAGAUGAAUAUGACAGACAGUAUUCAUUAAAAAGGUGUUAUUAUAAAUUAGGACUUUUUUCAAUGUGGGGGCAUUUUAUAUCUGAUUGAACAGUUUUGUUUUUUCUCAUUGUUAACGGCCAUUUUGUUUUGCCUAUAAUUACUUACAUCCACAUCCACAUCUCCUUAUUUUCAUAUUCAUGAUAUUUAAAGUACUCUACUGAUUUCAAACAACAUGGCAUGAUGAUAUUUGAUACGGGACUGGGUAUGUUGUCAUGUUGAUUCCGUCUAAAUAAAUUAAACAAAACAGAAACUCGUCGAACUCUUUGUUCACCUUAAUUGUUUGAUAUGCUUCAAAAAAGAUGAAGUACUUGGAUUCUGCCACUCUUUUAACAAAACAUCUUACGAGUAAAAAAACAACUCGUAAGUUAUUUACAUUUCAGUAUUGUUUACCAUGAUUUCUGUAUUAGUUUUUUUAAAAGGUCUCGCAAAUACCCAAAAAAUAGGUUAUAAAACUAGCUACUACAUAAUUUUGAAAAUUAUUUAAAAUUGAUGGAUUGAUUUCUUUGUCCAGCUCUGAUAAUAGUUUUGUUCGUUCAGUUAUUUAGUAGCUCUACAAUUUUGUUUUAUAUGAUUUAUUGAUUAUGAAAUAUUGUUGUCCCAAAUGUGAUAUUACUGGGUUCAAUUGAGAAUUAUUAUCAUAAGUAUUAACGUUAUUAUUAUCAUCAUUUUCAUUAUUAUUUUUUUAAAUUUAUGAAUAUAAUAUGGACUUAUGCAGUAUAUAUUGCUACGUUAUAGAUACGAAAUAUAACAUUUGAUUCAGUGGAUUGUAUGUGGUUCAAGAAUUAAAGAAAGAAUAAAAAUGGAACAGGUAUAUUUAUCCUAGUUUUAAAAAAAAACCGAUAAAAUAAAUACAACGUUAUAAGCUUAUAAUCAUACUCAAAAAGAUUUAUAUGACCAAUAUAAUUCAAAUACAUUUAAAAGAUACACAAUACAACUUUCUUCUACUAAAUACCUAUUGAUUAACAGUGAAAAGUGAUGCAUCGUUGUUUUUAAUUUUUAGAAGCAGAAAAGAGAAAAUACCAAAUGGAAAACUCAGAAGUCGAAAAUUAACUGAGAAAGCUUUAACAAAAAUGCUAAAAAAACAAAACAAAUAACAGCAUACAACAGUCAACAUACAAACCAAACAACAAAAAAAACAAAAUUCAACAUACAAACUAAAGGCUGAACAACACAAAAACAACAAUGAAGUGAAUGUAAGCAAUUAUAGGCAAUAGUUUGGCCUUCAACAAUAAGAAAACUAAAGGCCUAAUUUAUAAAAAAGAAAUAACGAAAAGAAAUAUGACAGAUAUGAACCAACAACAACACUGUAUGUCAGGCUCCCAACUUUGGACAGGCACAUAAAGAUUGUGGCGGUGUUUUGGAAUUUUACAACUGGUCAAUUUUAAAUGAUAGAGACCUGACCUCUUUUGAUUUGAUGUACUGAUUUCACCAUAAAGAAAAAACUAAGUUCAAGGACAUUGUCAUGUUCCAAUUUUGACUUUUACUGCAUUUGGCUUCUCCUUUAGGUGAGUUAUAGACAAAAAAAAAAGGAUUAAACAAAAUUUUUAGUCUCGACACGUCUAAACUGGAAAUUUUCAUACAAAAUUUUCAGUGUCAUUUAAUUAAGGGGUCAAUAUCCCUGGAAUAAUCACAUCAACAAAUUUUUUAAUCAUGACUUCAAACUAUACAUCUAUCAAUAUGAACUUGUGUCUCAUCUCAAUCAACCAAUCAACCAACCAACCAUUCAAGUUUUCGCCCAUUCCUCCUCCCUCACCAUUUUACCAGAUUUGUUUUGGGGGGAUACAUUUUUUUUAAUCGAAAAUCGUCUAAUAUCCCGUUUAUUUUACUUUCAACGUGCAAUCUGUCUAACAAAAUUAUGCUGUAAGUCAUGUCUUUUCUCGUUAUUAAUAAAACAAAAAAUCGAGUUGAAAAAGUACACACUAUCUGCAAAGGACUAAAUGAAGCAUUCCGUUUAGGUAUAUGUGCUUUUUGACGUAACAAGUAACAAUCACAUGAUGGUCUGCGCAUGUUUCUUAAUUAAAACAGGGAGGUUUCCAAUUUGAAAACAAACUUUCAAUUUUACAAAAGUAAAGAUCAAGAUACAUUUUUCGUUUGAAAAAUUCAUAUUCAUUUUGUCCUAUUAAUUGAAUACAACAUUUCGAUUUUGUUCGUGCUACAUGAUACAAAUAUGUAUAUAAAAAGUUUGGUUUUUUCAGGAAGUGUUAUAUGAGAGAGAACAAGUUCCUCCGUUCAAUGACGACCGAACGGUACUUUCUGAAGAUAACUGUCAGCAGGUUUGUCAUUUUCUGGCAUUGCAUGGGUAUAUUUGUGGAUAUCCGCACGUUUUUUUUUUUAACAAUAUAGAAGCGAAGUCAUUGCCUACUUUAAUUCAGUUAUAAAAUAAGCUUAUUUUUCUAUGGAGGAUUUUGAUUAGGUGCAGUUGAAUUUAUAUUAGGAACGUGAUUUUUAAGCACGUGGAUAUUUGAAGUCUGGAGAGUUUUAUUUGUUAUUUUUCCGUUUAUCAAAAUUAUAAUAUUUUAUCAUUUAAAUUAAAUACAAGAGGACGAAAGUAUUGGGAUCAGGAUUACGGAAUGAGCAGUAACAAAUUGUGCAGUCGGAGAAUUCUAAUAUAAACUGUAGUAACCAGCCUGAGAACACAGUAAUUAUUCUGUUCACAUCUUUAAGACAAUAAAUACACACAAAAACCAAAAUCGUAACAGUACUGCCACAUCGCAAACAUAUUAUACUAGCCAUGACUAAAACUAUGAACAAUUAUAUGUUAACUAAGGAGAUCUACAAUUCAGUUUGACUGUUUGAGACAUACUAAAUUUUGACCCUAUUAAAUUAACCAAAUCACUACUUUACAUUAAAAAAAAUAAUCAUCCAAGGUAAAACAUCAUUUGAUCCGCCUUCCUUUUAUUUUUUGCAUGACAUAUAAAGAAAUAGAAUUAGAAAGUAAAGGAACAAAAUGUUAAUAGUAAUAUACUGUCAACAAUAGGAACUUUAUUUGUAGACAACGACGAUCAACUGCCCGGUGUAUUCUAUAACAUGUAUAAUGUAGUUUUGUUUUUCUAUCUCUAGAUACUGAAUGAUUCGAUACAUGGUAUAAUUACGUUACAUCCAUUGCUGUUUAAAAUAAUUGAUACGCCACAGUUCCAGAGACUGAGAAACAUUAAGCAACUUGGUGGAUGUUACUUUGUCUAUCCUGGUGCGUCACAUAACCGAUUUGAACAUAGCAUUGG